Bolinopsis microptera is the source of this 360-nucleotide long non-coding RNA. RefSeq lists it as uncharacterized. NCBI's taxonomy places the organism in Eukaryota, Metazoa, Ctenophora, Tentaculata, Lobata, Bolinopsidae. The transcript has 3 exons. The record is from RefSeq and is a predicted model, not a curated record.
AUCAAUGGUCAUGUUCAGUCACAGAGGAUCUAAUAACGAUCGGGGUGAGACAAGCGCUGAGAAAGGGAGGAAGUUCAUAGACUACGCUACAAAACUUGGUUAUGAUAGAAGACUAGCGGAGAUUGCCGUACAAAGGUUGGGAGGAGCCGCCAGCACUAAUGACUUGUUGCGGACAGUUAUCAACCUCUACAGCGAAAAGAAGAAAAUAAGCGGCAGCAGUGGGAGUAAGAAUGGUACAGGAACAAAGCGGUACUGAGAAAUAAAACAAACAACUAAACAGAUCUCAGAAUCCUGUCCUAUCAAACACAACAGGGUGCUUACGAACAUGCUAACAUGCAAACAUGUGAUCAAGCGAACAUG